GAUGAGCGCUGGCGGCGUGCCUAAUACAUGCAAGUCGAGCGAACGGACGAGAAGCUUGCUUCUCUGAUGUUAGCGGCGGACGGGUGAGUAACACGUGGAUAACCUACCUAUAAGACUGGGAUAACUUCGGGAAACCGUAGCUAAUACCGGAUAAUAUUUUGAACCGCAUGGUUCAAAAGUGAAAGACGGUCUUGCUGUCACUUAUAGAUGGAUCCGCGCUGCAUUAGCUAGUUGGUAAGGUAACGGCUUACCAAGGCAACGAUGCAUAGCCGACCUGAGAGGUGGAUCGGCCACACUGGAACUGAGACACGGUCCAGACUCCUACGGGAGGCAGCAGUAGGGAAUCUUCCGCAAUGGGCGAAAGCCUGACGGAGCAACGCCGCGUGAGCGAUGAAGGUCUUCGGAUCGUAAAACUCUGUUAUUAGGGAAGAACAUAUGUGUAAGUAACUGUGCACAUCUUGACGGUACCUAAUCAGAAAGCCACGGCUAACUACGUG
This 497-nucleotide ribosomal RNA is filed under the name uncultured bacterium. Its description in RNAcentral is "partial 16S ribosomal RNA". It matches the Rfam family "Bacterial small subunit ribosomal RNA", at positions 28 to 507 of the family's 1533-position model. The record is from RNAcentral.